Molecule: long non-coding RNA, 8041 nt
Organism: Ctenopharyngodon idella (grass carp)
Lineage: Eukaryota; Metazoa; Chordata; Actinopteri; Cypriniformes; Xenocyprididae
Exons: 2
Source: RefSeq, a predicted model, not a curated record
UUAGACUCAUCCUGUCCGAAUGAAAGUAACAGGACAGAAAUAAUCCCUCAAGUGAAUACGGUGUUCAGUAAAAUACUGUCAGUAUUCCAUGGAACUGCAAAUUUAUUAAGCAAACAAAAUGAACAGAGGUUUAAUAAUAUGCGUGGCAUGCUUUUCAAAAUCAGAAAUUUGCACAUGUAGUGUUGGAACUUACUAGCUGCUGUUUUCAACCAAAAACCACAAAAAUUCUCAACAUACUGCAAUUAUCAAGAAAAAUAGCUUGUUUAGAAGAAAAAGCUUUCCUUUGAAAUUUCCUUUCUUUUUGCUGGACAUGAACAAAAUGUAACACUAUUUUGCAAUAUUAAGUAAGUCAAAGCUGCUUUUAGUUACCGGAAAGUGGAAGACUACCUCAGAGGUUUAGAGUUACAAUAAAAGUAAUGAAUAAAUGAGCUGUAAAAUGAGACCAAACAGCAUAAAACAAGCAAAAAAUUAAUUUAAUGAGGAACUGUGAGUUCUGCCACCAAAUGCUAAUGCUUUGCCCAUAUGUUAAUUUUGGAUUCCACACGCUUCUGCUUUCCCACAAUCCUGUACCUGCAAGUGGGGUUUGUAAGGUGAAACAUCCUUACAGUCCUUAAUAACCAUUAUUAAUAGAGCUUUCUGCCAAAUGGCACAGCCCUACACACUCACCAAAGAAAACCACGACGUAACAGAAUGACUCUGCAGAGAGCCUUAACCCAAACUAACAAAUGCUGUGUAUUUAUUAACAUUUACUUCAUUUACAAAAACUUGAGCUGUGUCCGAAAUCACUCACUCGCUCACUAAUCCCUAUAUAGUGCAUGGCAGUUGAGCCCACAAUAUAAUAAAGAUUAGUAAAAUCUUUUUUUUAAUUUUUUAGUAAAAAAAAAAUAAAAAGGAAAAAAAUUACAAACAGCAUGAAAUAAUUGUUAAAGUAGGAAUAAGAAAGCUGCAAACUGCAUCUCUCGUUCAAACUAGCUUGCUCCCUCUGGCAGGUCAUGUUGGAUUAUGGGAAACCGUAAAAAAAGUCAGAAUUGUGAGACAAACUCGCAAUUGCAUGUUAUAAAGUCAGAAUUGUGAGUUAAAGUCGCAAUUUUGAGAGAAAAGCCAGUCUUUUUCCCCUCAGAAUAACUCACAGUUCUGAGAAAAGAAGUCAGCAUUGAGAGAUAUAAACUUGCAAUUGCAAGAAAAAAGUUGAAAUUAUCUUCUUUUUUUUAUUCCGUGGCGGAAACAAGCUUCCAUACAAAAGCACAUACCAAAAUUACUUAAAAAUUAAAAGAAAAUUAAUAUGAAAUCUAAAAACCUAAAAAUAAAAGGUAUUAAUGUUCACUAUGGAAAAGACCAGCAUGAACUUCCUGACUUUUUUGUGAGCAUCUCCUUUUGUGAUUGACGGAUGGAAGAAAAUCAAAUGGUUGUGGAACAUUUAUUUGUAUAGCGCUUUUCACAAUACGUUUCAAAGCAGCUUUACAGAGAAUGCAUGUCAACAUUACAAUUUGGAGAAUGCAGUUAGCUAAUAAUGUAAUAAUUUAGGCAAUUAAUUUACAAUCACUGUUAGCAAUUUAAUUGAAGGUAGAAGCAAAGAGCUCCUGGAAAAAUGAAUUACAUAUUAACAAUAAUUAGGAUAUAUAGAAAUUUAAGUAAAUGACGACAGGAUUGUCAUUUUCAGGAGACCUAUCCUUUUCAUCAAAAACUGCAAACAAUUCAGAGCAGGCCAAAAAACAAUCUGUUCUAAAAUUUAGGUGUUGUGAAAAUAGCUCCCAUGAACCUGAGGAAUCACCUUGCAAAACAUGAAAAUUGGUUUGGGAUAUCACAACAGUGCAAUGCGAUUUGAUCUUUGUUACUCCAUCAUUAAUAUUCAAAGCCUUAUUUCCGAACAUCCUUACACAAACCAAUUCAGGUCAUAUGCGAUUACCGCUGAAGUGCUGCCUUUGCGGAUGUGUGUAUUACAUUCAGCAUGAAUUAAUCAUAAAACUUGAUUUGGUACAUGUCUAGACAUCUCCCUGAAGAAUUAAAAAGAGAUCCAAUCCAGUCCGCAUGCAUCGUUUACAGAUUUAUGAGAGCGUUUAACGUUAAUUAAUAUAUAUGCGUGGGUGGGGAAAACAAAAAACAACAAAUACAUUGUUCCCAGUAAGAUUUUUUUUAAAGAAAUGAAUACUUUUAUUCAGCAAGGAUGUAUUAAAUUAAUCAAAAGUUAUAGUAAAGACAUAGUUAUUUACAUUAUUUCCAAAAAAUACUUAAAAUAAAUGCCGUCUAUUCAAAGAAUCGUCAAUUGCCAGCUUUCACUUUUCUUUCCAGAGAAUAUAAAUGCUGGAAAAGCAAAUAUCAGGCAAUUCAGCAUCAAUGAAUUCUGACCAGAGUCUAUUAACUGUCUCUGCUCUUUAGUCUAAAUAUGAAAGAUCAGGUGAGACACCGUAUAAUAGCAAAACAUACAUUCUGAGGUCAUUUCCUGGCCAUCAUUUUCACCAUGUUCAAAGCUCAAAGCAAUAUUGAUCUCUUGUCCAGUGUAAUAUAUUCAGAACAAUACAAUUAUAUGGCCACUAUAUGACAUUCAUCCUUUCAGUGAGGUCAGAACAAAUAUCUUCCAAAAGCAUAUUUAUGUUGAAGGAUGUAAGAGAAAUCCUUGAUCUGAUUGUACUAUAUAUAAAAACACUGUCCAUAGUAAUCAAUCUGUCCAUGUAAUGACCUUUAAAAGACCAUAACCCAAGGGGAUGUGCAGUACACGACGUCUGAUGAAAUGUGAAACGAAAUGCCAACUACAGAGACAUCUUAAACUUACACAUAUAACACAGUAAAAGUGUUCAGCCCCCUCUGAGUCAUUUUUGUUUGCACUAUUUAAUCAUAGUGGAUCUAAUUUGGCUUUUUGUUUAGCACUAAUCAACAGUACAAACUAAUAGAGAGUCUGAAUUAAUGCUGAGGAAAUCCUGGAGGAAAGGAGAGUCUCCAAGACACCUGCGACUUGGGAGAUAAUUUGUCUUCCAGCAAGCCAAAGUGUAAAGCCAAAGCUACUUAAAAACAACAAUGUUAAAUGUCCUGGAGUGGCCAAGUCAGAGUCCAGGUCUCAAUCCAGUUGAGAAUUUAUAGGUGGACUUGAGGAAAAGAAAAAAAACUCUGGAUCUCCAUGAAACCUGCUGAGCUUGAGCAGUUCUGCUCAAAAGAAUGAGGAGAAAUUGCAAUGUCCAGAUGUGCAAAGCUGAUAGAGACCUGUGCUGCAUCAGAAAUUGCAUACUAUAUUGUAGGUGCUACAUUUGAAACUUCAUGACCAUUAAAAAAGUAUGAAUGUGGGUAUGAAUGAAAUUGGGACUUACUACAUCCGCCAUGUUGUUACCGUCAUAUGACCUACGGUGUCAGCUGCAUCCAGGGCCUAAAAUUAACACUCGCCAUGUGCCAAAUGCAAGUAAAAAUUGCUGUUGGAGAGUAUAUAAAACGGUGUCAAUAGCCGGUUUUGUGAAUUCUAACAAUGCAAUUUUGUGAGAACAUGAACGAGCCAGUGCUGCAUUGUCACGAAAGUUUAAGUUUUGCCAAUUUAAAUAUUCAAGCGUGUUAGGUGUAGGAAGUUUUCUGUGUGCAAACAUCCAAAACACUUCCAGAAAAACCGCGUCUCAGACAACGCGUGAAUACUGAAUUAAGCUCUGUUUAAUAUCUUCUUGCGCUUGAACCAUAGACUGUAAAAAAGAUGGACGACGCACCUUCACUCUCUUCCAUUGUAGUAAGUAAAGCCGCCAGCGUGCCAAUAUGGCGCUGACAUCUUGAGUCUCGAGUCUGAGCAUAGUGAACUUGGAGCCCAAGUCUGCGCAAUAGUAAGCAUGAAGUGGAGCCUUGACAUCAAGGUCCCGCCCACACUCCCGCAAAAUCGGUUAAUACUGCAGAACAACUAUAUUACACCGCUCUGUGGAAUACUUGAUUCUGAUUGGUCAAUCGCGCCAUCCAGUGGUAUGUUAUUCCCUGAUAACAACAGCUGAAAACAGAUAACACAGGCUCAUCCAGGUUACAGAAGACAGCUAAAACGCUUGCUAGCAAUGUUUUUUCUUCGAAGUUUUCCGUUCGGUGAGCUAAUAAAAUAUUAAAACUCAGUCAAAUCAAUAUUUUGUGUACAGUUAUUUAAUUAUGUCAUCCAGUAUCGUGGACUCGCACUCUCAGGUGUGACAAAAAGUUAAGUUUUAGGCCCUGGCUGCGAAGCUUCACUUCCAUUCACAAAUCCUCUCCCGUGGUCUUAUGGGAUAUUAAAGUGUCCAUCAAAUGUGUACUUCAGAAUCUCGCUGGAAGUAGUAGGUCAUCUGGGUACUUUUCGCCUACAGUUUUAUGAAAAUUUGCUCAUAUACUCUUUUUCAUCUACUACAUACAAUAGUUUGGAGUAGGCAUAUUCUGACGCAGUGCUACAGUAUCCACACAGAAUAAACAUUGCAUCUGCUACAUACGAACUUGGUACUUACGAAAAUCAUGUGAUUAAUAUCUUUUUCCUCUUUGACAUGAAAGAAUAUUUUUUGUAUUGAUCAGGUGCCAAAAUAAAUCCUGUAUGAUUAAAUGAAAGAAAAUCUUCAGGGGAGCGAAUACUUUUACAGGCUCUGAAUAUUCUUAAAAUAGAAGCCCUUAUUAUCCAGCACUCAGCCUCAGUGUUAUCCAUGCCUGAAAAUAAUAUAAAAGCAGACAAAAUGUAACCCUCAAACAUCCAAGUCACAUCACACAUUUUCACCAAUAUACUGUAACUAGUUUUCAGCACAGCCAGUUCCCUGCGAGUAAAAAUGUAGUGAUUGUGUGAAAGUGCUCUCUGAUUUGGACCUUUUUUCCCUGCAGAGUUUUUCUGGCAGAGCAGUUUGAGUUCCUUCAGCCUCAUCUCGACACCAUGAUGCCUUUAGCCAAGAAGUUCUACUCACAGGCACGCAGGAGACUCUGAAGCCAGCUGGAAGAUCAAAGAUUCAGCUUUUUGGAAAUCAGACUAAAUGAUGUUUGGUGUAAGCCAAACACAUCAGAAACAUGCCAUUCCCACUGUAAUGGCAGCAUCACGCUGUGAGGAUGUUUCCCUGCGGCACGACCUGGACGACUUGUGAAGGUUGAGGUUAUGACCAAAAGUAUGAGCAAUUUAGUUUUUGCUGGAAACUCAAGAUAGAAAUUGUUUCUAUAUUAAAUAACCAUGUAGUAAUUUGUAUUUUUGAAUAAUAUACUGAAUUACUUACUUUACAAAUGAAAGGUCUAAUUUAAUUAUUUUCUCUUUUGUUUUGAAACCUGAUGGAUGCAGACCAAAAGAUAAGAUUAUUCAUAACAAAUGUUAAGUCUGGCAUAAAUGCAAAAACAGCUGCUUCACAUUGAACAGCCUAGAAACAAACAAUAAAAAUAACAGAAGACUUUAGAUUGAUUCAAACUGCCUACUUGGAAAUGCAAACCAUGUUUACGUGAUAAAAGUUGCACCCUUUAAUUUUCACAUCCCACUCUGCUACGUUAUCACUCUUGCGUGCAAAUAAUUUAAAGCUGCCCUGCCUGCUGAAAGUAGGUAUAUCUUAAAUACUGAGGUAUAAAAGAUACUGACACAUUAUACUGUUGCAGUGGUAUAUACCGUCAUACCAUCCACUCCUAGUGGAUAAACCUAAUGCAAAAUACAGGAAAGACCUGGAGGAAAUCCCACAGGAAAACCUGAUAGAUUCUGACACCUGCGACUUGGGAGAAGAUUUGUUUUUCAAUCAGACAAUGACCCCGAGCAUCCAGCCAAAGCUACACAGCCAAUGGCGUAAAAACACAAUAUUAAUAUUCUGAAGCAGCCAAGUUAGAGUCUGGAUCGCAAUCCAAAUGAGAAUUUAAGUAGACCUGAAAAAAGGCUUGUCACAAACUCAAUGUAGCCUGACUGAGCAACCUUAAAGGAUUGGAGAACAAAUUGUAUAGCAAGACAGUUGUUGUACUACUCCUCCCUUGUAAAUCACACUGGAUAAAUGUAAAUGCAGUCAUACAAUUAUGCAAGCUUUCAGGGAUUGAAAAAAUGCAUCAAACUAUUGCUGAACUGUAUCUGAGGUUAACACUAUCCAUUGAGAUCAACUAAUGAGGUUACGAUUAACACUCUGUUCCUGUUAGAAUAAACAUGACAGAAGAUAAUGGGAUUACUAGGCUUAAUACCAUGCAUACAUUGGAGAUUAAAGAUUAAUAAAUUGAAUUCUACUGCCAUAAGUUCUCUGAAGAUACAAACUGAUAUGACACGUGCUUAAAAGUACCAUUUCAGCCGUAAAAAUUCACAGCACAUCAGAGGUGUUGUGCUGAUAAUGACCCAGAGGACAAACAGCUGUGAGAAAGCUGAUAGAAAAAAAUGACUGUGUACAAUUGAAAGUCACUUCACGAUGAGUGCAGAACAGUCAUUGUUAGUUACAUUAGGAUUCUGCAGGAGAUCUCAUGGUCACACUGUCAAAAUAUGAUGUUACAAUUUUAAAAGGCUGUUUUCUAUUUGGAUAUAUUUUAAAAUGCAAUUUAUUCCUGUGAUCAAAGCUGAAUUUUCUGCAUCUUUACUCAUCAGUGUCAUAUGAUCCUUCAGAAAUCAUUCUAAUAUGCUGAUUUGCUGCUCAAUAAACAUUUCUAAUUAUGUUAAAAAUGUUUCCAACCAUGUUUAAAUCAGCUAUUUUAAUCAGGGUAAUGGACUGUUUCAUUGCGCCGCCUGUCAUAUCCGCUUUACCCCAAACACCAAGGCACUUUAAUAUAUUAUUUGUUUUAUCAGACAGUUGAGCAACUGUUUGGAUACAUUUACCGACAGAAAACUAAUAAUAAAAAAAAAAGCUACAUAGUGUACCUUUAACUGAUUUUGAAAGUCUGGGCCCAAUUAAAACAGCACUAGCUUUGGUAAUGCGCACAUCCUGGAAAAACAAAGCUUGAAAAAGGUGCAACCAUUUACACUUCAUGAUCAUCCUAUUAAACUGGCUUAUAUUAAAUUUCACAGCUCACAGUUUUUGUGGUUCCACAGAAUAUCUGCCUUUGGGAAGUUAACAUUAUAGCACACAAAGUUUUCUUACUUUCGGAAGAGCUAUGCAUGACUAACUGCAAGGAUCUGCAAAGGUACGUGGCUUAAAAUUAAGUCACUACAAAACAGGAAAUAAAUUUGGCAGAUGGGCCUGCAUACAAAUGCUCAUUAUCUGCAUAUGAAUAUAAUUUUGUAGACUUUGGUGGCUUAGCAUCCCAUUUAGAAUCCCUUCUGCUUUCAGUCAGAGCAUUAACUAUGAAAACAAAUAUUUAAUGCAAAUUAGAAUUAUGAAAGACACUAGGCUACAGAACAAACCACAAACACUACAGGUCAAAGCUGAAGCAUAAAAAUACAAUCGGUGAAAUAAAGUCUGCUUUUUAAAACAAAGAAAAGAAGCAACGGUAGAAGAAUGGUUAGUAUGUGCCAAAAGCGGCAAACUGUACAUUCCUGCAGUGUGUGCAUGUCAAAAGAUCAAAUCCAGUUUGAAACUUGUGACAUAUAAACAAACACAGUCACACAUCAACCUGAUCACUUUAUUUAGCGUUCAUGUAAACACUAUGUUCAGAUCCAUCAACCGGAAUGAUUUCGAUUUGUAGCUAUUCUCUAUAUUGUUGUUACACGUUUUCAACCAAAACGUAAUGUUUGCAGUCAGCAUCACCACCUGUGAUCCAAUACGAGCCCUGCUCAUCUCUGUGAAGGAAUCUAGGUUCAUUCUUCUUUACAAGACUGCUUUAACUUUGACAGAUUGGAAGAGCUCUUCAAGCAUGAACUGCUCUUUUCAGGUUCUGCCACAUCAUCUAGGGUUCAUGUCAUGACUGUGACUAGGGCACUCCUUAUUUUCAGGUGUUCAGAUGUGGAAUUCCUUCAGUGUUUUAGACUAUUGCUGCAUCACUCAAUUACACAUAAAUGGAUAUUCCACACAAAAAUUAAUAUUCUGUCAACAUUUAGUAACCCUAUAUGAUGUUAUUUUGGUCUUUAACUCUUUCCCCACCAGCAUUUUCUAAAAAAUGUUGCCAGAAUUUUUGAUCAUAUUCACAAAAAUGUCAUGGCCCCCAGAAUAUUGUGUUGUAUGAAUAUGUAAACAGUAAAAAUAUCAAAAGAAAGAACAAAAACAUGAAA